GAUGAACGCUGGCGGCGUGCCUAAUACAUGCAAGUCGAGCGAACAGACGAGGAGCUUGCUCCUCUGACGUUAGCGGCGGACGGGUGAGUAACACGUGGAUAACCUACCUAUAAGACUGGGAUAACUUCGGGAAACCGGAGCUAAUACCGGAUAAUAUAUUGAACCGCAUGGUUCAAUAGUGAAAGACGGUUUUGCUGUCACUUAUAGAUGGAUCCGCGCCGCAUUAGCUAGUUGGUAAGGUAACGGCUUACCAAGGCAACGAUGCGUAUCCGACCUGAGAGGGUGAUCGGCGACACUGGAACUGAGACACGGUCCAGACUCCUAAGGGAGGCAGCAGUAGGGAAUCUGCCGCAAUGGGCGAAAGCCUGACGGAGCAACGCCGCGUGAGUGAUGAAGGUCUUCGGAUCGUAAAACUCUGUUAUUAGGGAAGAACAAAUGUGUAAGUAACUAUGCACGUCUUGACGGUACCUAAUCAGAAAGCCACGGCUAACUACGUG
Molecule: ribosomal RNA, 497 nt
Filed under: uncultured bacterium
Lineage: Bacteria
Description: partial 16S ribosomal RNA
Rfam family: Bacterial small subunit ribosomal RNA
Source: RNAcentral